CCGAGUUUACAACUCCCAAACCCCUGUGAACAUACCUGUCGUUGCUUCGGCGGACCCGCCCCGGCGCCCUGUGCCCGGACCCGGCGGCCGCCGGAGGACAAAACCCGUCUUACCAGUGGCAUUAUCUGAGUGGCGCAAGCAAAUACAAUCA
Molecule: unclassified non-coding RNA, 151 nt
Filed under: uncultured Sordariomycetes
Lineage: Eukaryota; Fungi; Ascomycota; Sordariomycetes
Description: sequence contains ITS1
Source: RNAcentral